This 45-nucleotide small RNA is filed under the name Arabidopsis thaliana (thale cress). Its description in RNAcentral is "ATSL252740". Lineage: Eukaryota; Viridiplantae; Streptophyta; Magnoliopsida; Brassicales; Brassicaceae. The record is from RNAcentral.
UCUAACACAGCCACGUGGCAUACUAAAGAAACAGAGGAUACAACA